This is a long non-coding RNA of Oncorhynchus tshawytscha (Chinook salmon), 3613 nucleotides long. RefSeq lists it as uncharacterized. Lineage: Eukaryota; Metazoa; Chordata; Actinopteri; Salmoniformes; Salmonidae. The record is from RefSeq and is a predicted model, not a curated record. The transcript is spliced from 4 exons.
ACCAUAACGUUGGAUGCCAACCACCGAUAAACCCCACCGAAGAAGUCAUCAGGCAGAGGCAAUGGGUUUUGGACGUUGAUGGAGCACGUCAGAGAAGGAAGACGGAGACCGCGCUUGUUUGAAAUCGAAAGGUGUCACGGUAGCUUUUGAUAAAGAUUAUCAUCAAGACGAAGCAGCUGCAUUAUAAGUGGGAUGCACUGUUGACCGCAACAUCCCGAGGCGUUCGUGCUGAUUGUACGGAGAUUGUGACAGCGGGUUAAAUGGCGUCCCUUGAGAAAGCAAGAACAAGAUAUGUCAGAAGUGCAGUAUUACAUAAGGAGAUGUAUACUUGGAAAAAAUGGAUAUGGCUUGUUAAAGAAGAAUGGUAGAAAGUGUCAACUGAGUGAGCUGAAGACCGGAGGAGAAAUUGAAGUGAAUGAGGGCGAAGUAUCGGAGGUUCCCAUUUCAUGACAAGCCCAGGCUACAACAGUGGGUAGCAACUGUCAGGCGGAUGAAUUGGAAACCAACCCAACACUCUUGUCUCUGCCCAUCACUUUGAAGAUGAGUGUUUUUGGGAUGAUGACAAGGGAAAGGUCAGCCUCACUGCUUCUGCUUGUGCCCAUUAUUUUCUCCCCUGGUUGUCUUCAAAAGUGGUCACAAUGCCCCAAGGGAAGAUCAAGGAAUACAGUAGGUACAGGGGGGGAGAGUCUCCGCCAAGAAUUUACAUCCUGAGGUAACAGAACCUGGGUGUAGGAGUCAGAGGGGGAAGCCACGAUCUACACCCAGAAAGGGCCACAUCAUGACCACUGUGAUGCUGGAUGUGCAUGAUGACACCAGUGGUGUGUCAGAUGUAGGCCUACAUCACAAUGACAUAGCUGUGAUAGUGGAUGCCGGCUGCUGCUGAUUCCUUGCUUCUCACUAGGUGAUGUUGCCACACCUCAGCUGAGCAGAGGAUCCAAUAUGACAAACCAUGCAGUAAUUUCUCAAUGGUACAGCUUCUUGGUUAAAUACAAAGGUUCUCUUUCAUUUUCUCCUCUACAUUUGGAUUGACAAUGGUGCUUGUGUGCAUCUAAUAUAUUUUAUGAGCUUUGAUUAGAAGCAUAACCAAACGGCUUUAGAAGUAUAACACAGAAACUGUAGAUAACGUUAUCCAGAAAUCUUACAUACUGUUUUCUGAAAGUUAUUUUAAAACUGUAAAUCCCUAUCCUAAAGAAAAUUAUCCAACUUGUAACUCUGAUUUGGACUAUCGGUUUCUGUCAAAACACCCACACUGAUGAAAGUGAUAUUGUGGAAAGCCUAGAUAUGGAACCGCUUGGAUGAUAUCAGUCUUUGGUCAAGGCUGAUAUCAUGAGGUUAAAUCACGUCCUCUGCCUCUCACUUCUCUCCUCCACACGUGGUCAUUGCUUCAGCACGUGGACAUUGCGGUCCUCCUGAUCAAGUUCAAAUGAAGUGUUCAGUAUUCUCUGAUUCUCAACACAAGUAAAAGAGGUCUCAUACAGUGAAUAUACCAAACAUUAGGAAGAACUUCCUAAAAUUGAGUUGCACCCCCUUUUGCCCUCAGAACAGCCUCAAUUCAUUGGGUCAUGGACUCUCUUUAAAUUUGUUUUGCUCAUAAUGGUAGAUGUAUGCAUGUGUUCUCUCUCUUCUAGUUGCACAACUAAGUUUCUGACUUCCAAUGACAGUCUGCUCACUAUAAUUCCCAUCCAAUAUAUUUUUACAUGCAUGUCUGGGGAAACCCCUUAUCACCCAGUAACUCCUCCUUCAGGCUGAUUAUAUCCAUGCCCUGUUGGACACCUAUGUCCCCAGAUGCAGAGAAGAAGGAUCACCAGCUCAGCUCAUCACUGUCCAAUUUCUGGUGGGGAAAACGGACAUUGCUCAACCUGCACUUGAUUUGGCCCAUUUGCUACCCAGCCAAACAGAUUAACAUUUUAAUGCAUAAAUCCUUUAGCUUUUGCAUUUUAAAAUUGUGUGUCUCUUAAAAGUUGGCUGGUUAUUAAACAGUUUAAUAUCUUCUCAAUUAGUUAAGUUAUUUCAUAUGAAAAGAUUAGCUGUGGAUCUUUCCACUAUAUUAUUGCUUUGUGACUCUCCGACCAAUCUCUAAUCAUGUCCUGUGAAGUGGAGUUCCCCCUCCACCAAUCCCUCAGGGCUCCAAUGUUAAGUGAAACUCCAUUCUCUUAUAAACUGUGCUGAACUGAUACAGUGAACCAGCUGAAGUCGGUAUGUAAACUGACACCACUGGAGGUCUUGGCGCUAUUUGUGUAGAACAAGAAAGAAAACAAGUAGGCGGACAGUACAAGUAAACUUUAUUGAACUAUUUACAAAACAUAAGUAGGAACAGAUUAGAAUAUUGUUUACAUCAGGAUGCACAACCUUCCACUUCUGUAAGGAGUUCUUUAUUUUGCCAUUCUUACUAUGUUGAAGCACUUGAUGAUUGUUUUUGAAUAGCUGGACAGAAAUAAAGUACCUCAUGCUAAAAAGAGAAGUCAAAGAGAUCUCUUGGCAGGGGUUAAAAAGGAUAGACCCAGCAAAAUGUAUAUAUGUCAUAACUCACAAUGUCAGUGGCUCUGUAAAUACAUAAUGUUGUGACUUGUAGAAUCCUGGAGUUGGAAUAUUAUAUUACUUGUACAUAACGCUGCUUUUAUCAUACUGUGUCAUUUAGAAUGUGUAAAUGCAGCUUUACUGAUUAAUUGUCAAAUCAUAACGGCAUAACUUUUACAAAAACUUAUUUCCCCAACUUUUCAUUUUGUAACAAGUGGCAUGUUGUGUUAAAUAGAAAAUAUACAACUGCUAGGUCUCCUGAGGUGCACAUGUAGCGCUAAAUAGAGCACGUAUGAUUUAGUCCUCAAUAAGUUACAUGCAUACACAGAAUUACCUUUCAUGGUUGUGGUACCUGCAGAUUUCCCGUUCCCCAAUAGUGGUGGUGCAAAAGCAGAUUUCCCCUCCCGAAACUAGUUGCAGCCAUGCAGAUCCACGUCCCUGGCAACAUUGGCAGAGUGCCCAAAAACUAUACCGGAGUGGAGUAGUCCUAGAAAAACUGGAACUAGCAAUAUGGCAGCAGCCACGAAAUGGUCGUUGCCACAAAGUCAGAAGGCACGCCUACUUGACCAAUCAGAUGAGGGAGUAUAAUGAUGUGUAUGCCAGCCCAGAAGGCUCGCCUACCCGACCAAUCAGAUGAGGAAGUAUGAUGUCCUACUCUAUGCCGGUUUGUGGGUAAUACCUACUUAUUGAGUUGGAAAAAAAACAAAUCUCCCAUUCCACCUGAUUACAUAGGUGGCGUGCCACAUUCACCAUAUGAAUGGUGUGAUUGGUAAAAUGAUGUCCACCUUUUAAUGGGGUGAUUGUUGUCUAAUCUGGUGCCCAUUCAAUGGUGUUCUGUUUCAAGUUGCGGAAUGCCAUCUUGUAAGAAUGCCAUCUGGGGAAAGGCAGACAAACGAAAGAGAAAUAUCCUGCUGAAAAGGGCAGUAAGUUCAAAGGCUGUUCACUGGAAUUUAAACCAUACACUUUUACAACAAAUUUUGAAUUCCCAACUAACAAUGGAAUGUUCCUCAAUAAAACCGUAAAAGCCUUGGUUUCAUGCAUUUUAACAUUAGAAGUCUCCUCCCUAAAUUUGUUUUAUUCACUGCUUUAGCCCACU